AGCACUGCUAGGAGUAGAGGAUUUCAUCUGUGCCUUCGCUGUUCUCACACUUACCACUGAAUCGAUGCUGUUUACACAGAAGCAGCAUUAUAGAACAUUCUGCAAUUUACCUGCAAAAUGGAAUUACUGUUUAUGGCUGUUAGCAGUUGCAACAUUUCUUUACGCCCGGUGACCCCCAUUUCCAUGUGCCCAGCUCCCAGAAGGCGGCUGAGUCUGGUGCGGGGACGGCUCAAAGCACACAGGCUCCAGGGGGGCUGCUCCAACGGGACGAGUGUCUGCGGGAGGAAUUGCCAAGCCCUGCAAAGCCCGCCUAGCCCACCUGUGUCCUGGGGGCUCGCCCUCAGCUCUGAAUGAUCAGAAGGCUCAAGGAAGGCCAGUGUUCUGCAGUGUCCUUCGGCGGUGCCGUCUGGUGGGGAAGGAGCUCGCAACAGCUGCAAGAACCGACCCCUGUGAGCUUUCUGCCCACGAUAACCCCAGAAAUUUCAAGCAACAGUUCUUGGAAACCAUAUGGAGAUCAGCCUGGGAGUUUUGCAAGACUACCCUACAGGCUACGAGCCAGGAUAGAGAGCCUGAACGAGUCUUCUCCACUCUGCUGGCCACAAAAUGGCAUUCAAUUUCAUGGCUGGAGAAUAAAAAACACCUUUACGCUUAGUUAG
Molecule: long non-coding RNA, 656 nt
Filed under: Anser brachyrhynchus (Pink-footed goose)
Lineage: Eukaryota; Metazoa; Chordata; Aves; Anseriformes; Anatidae
Description: lncRNA (ENSABRG00000008355.1)
Source: RNAcentral